GUUAAGAGGAAUGUUGUCUGGCUCAAGGUCAUGAAGGAAGGAUCAUUCCAUUCAAUUUGGAAGAAACUAAUAAUUGAAUUGAAAACCCUAAAUGAUUCUCGGACCAGGCUUCAUUCCCCCUAAC
This 124-nucleotide microRNA precursor is filed under the name Capsella rubella. RNAcentral describes it as "mir-166 microRNA precursor family". It matches the Rfam family "mir-166 microRNA precursor family". Rfam says of the family: This family represents the plant microRNA (miRNA) precursor mir-166. Animal miRNAs are transcribed as ~70nt precursors and subsequently processed by the Dicer enzyme to give a ~22nt product. Lineage: Eukaryota; Viridiplantae; Streptophyta; Magnoliopsida; Brassicales; Brassicaceae. The record is from Rfam by way of RNAcentral.